Camellia sinensis is the source of this 167-nucleotide small nuclear RNA. RefSeq annotates it as U1 spliceosomal RNA. Lineage: Eukaryota; Viridiplantae; Streptophyta; Magnoliopsida; Ericales; Theaceae. The record is from RefSeq and is a predicted model, not a curated record.
UUACAUACCUGGACGGGGUCAAUGGGUGAUCAAGAAGGCUCAUGGCCUAGGUCGGUGGCUUUCAUUGCACAAUACUGAAUGCGCACUCGGCUUAACAUCUCCCCUUUGAUGGGAGACUGUACGUCUUAAUUUGUGGUAGCUGGGGCCUGCGCCUGCGCGGCCCCUCU